CACGCAAGCGUCCAUAGGAAAGCAUUGAUAAUGCUUUCCUAUGUGACCGGCUGAAUGUGCGCGCAGCUCUUGUCGCGCGUGCGCAUUCAGCCGACGGGGAGGAGAAGAAGAGCUCCCCGCCCAGCCUCAAUUCCCACAUUCAUGAAACACCACAUAUUAGUUUGUACCCUAUAGCAACCUGGCUGUUUUUUUGGUUGUUGUUUUAGAUUGCAGUAUUAAAGGCCCACUAUAGUGCCAGUAAAACAUACUCGUUUUCCUGGCACUAUAGUGCACUGUGGGUGCCCAGACCCUCAGGGACUCCCUCCCGCCCGGCUCUGGGGAGAAGAAGGGGGUUAAAACUUACCUUUCUCCAGCGCUGGGCGGGGAGCUCUUCUCCUCCGAUCCUCCUCCGUUCCUCCCAUUCGGCUGAAUGCGCACGCGCGGCAAGAGCUGCACGCACAUUCAGCCAGUCUCAUAGGAAAGCAUUCAUAAUGCU
Molecule: non-coding RNA, 475 nt
Organism: Pelobates cultripes (western spadefoot toad)
Lineage: Eukaryota; Metazoa; Chordata; Amphibia; Anura; Pelobatidae
Source: the annotation of a GenBank genome assembly